This 71-nucleotide transfer RNA is filed under the name Climaconeis cf. scalaris. RNAcentral describes it as "tRNA-Gly". It matches the Rfam family "tRNA". Rfam says of the family: Transfer RNA (tRNA) molecules are approximately 80 nucleotides in length. Their secondary structure includes four short double-helical elements and three loops (D, anti-codon, and T loops). Further hydrogen bonds mediate the characteristic L-shaped molecular structure. tRNAs have two regions of fundamental functional importance: the anti-codon, which is responsible for specific mRNA codon recognition, and the 3' end, to which the tRNAs corresponding amino acid is attached (by aminoacyl-tRNA synthetases). tRNAs cope with the degeneracy of the genetic code in two manners: having more than one tRNA (with a specific anti-codon) for a particular amino acid; and 'wobble' base-pairing, i.e. permitting non-standard base-pairing at the 3rd anti-codon position. The record is from RNAcentral. Lineage: Eukaryota; Bacillariophyta; Bacillariophyceae; Naviculales; Amphipleuraceae.
GCGAGUAUAGUUUAGUGGCAAAGCCUUAGCCUUCCAUGCUAAUGAUGGGAGUUCGAUUCUCCCUACUCGCU